This 617-nucleotide long non-coding RNA is filed under the name Phoenix dactylifera (date palm). RNAcentral's name for it is "long non-coding RNA (PDAC_LNC014668)". The record is from RNAcentral. Lineage: Eukaryota; Viridiplantae; Streptophyta; Magnoliopsida; Arecales; Arecaceae.
UUGAUAGACUGAUCGAUCGAAUGGAGAUAUCUUAGGUAAAAUCUAUUGGUAGGCCCUUGGUUGCAAAGAAGAAGAGCCCAUAUGAGAACUCACGCUUGACACCCCAUUCUUAUGCCGUGUAAAGCACAUUUUCAGAAGAGUGAUUGGCUUGCAGCCAUAUUGUGCACCUAGAAGUGACUUCUUCAUCUUGUCUUGAGGUAGAAGCUGGCCUUGGUUGAACAAGCAGCCGACCCUAUAGUAACGGAAAUAAUAGAAAGGGAAAGAACCAUUUCAAAAGCUAUGAUUUGCCACUAAAAAGAAGCCAAAAGUAAAAGCUCUCCGAGCACACAUAGGCAGAUACUAUUUAGUAGAACUUUAUGCGUACCUUGCACUUCUUUCCGCUUUGGAACUUUUUUCUUUUAAGUCCAAUCCUAGUGGCAAUAGAAAACAUUCAUCGAGAUUGAUUGCCCUACUUUCUUCUGCCUCUAUUUGUUCCUUCAGAGUAGACCAACUUCUGCUGUUGCCUGACCCUGUAGUUGAGCAUGCCUUCUUGACUCGCUUGACUCCCGGCACAAGAGGAUGAAUUGAAAAAAGGAGCUAAGGCUCCCAUUAGAAAGCACUGCUGGAAGAAUAGAGGC